AAACAGAAACCAAAAAAAAA
This 20-nucleotide small RNA is filed under the name Arabidopsis thaliana (thale cress). RNAcentral describes it as "ATSL024230". The record is from RNAcentral. Lineage: Eukaryota; Viridiplantae; Streptophyta; Magnoliopsida; Brassicales; Brassicaceae.